UCUCUUUAUUAUUCUUACAGCCACAGGUGAAUCAACAGUUCUCUCAAAAUAAAGAGCUAUAUAAAGAAAGUAGCUGGAAUGAUUCACCUUCCACACUGAGGAGCUUUCACAGCUCACGUCAGAGAAUUGAGGAUUUUCACAGGGCCCCUGCGAAGUGCCUCCCUUCUGUAUCUUCUUUGUAGAUGAACCCAGAAGGGAGGGUCACUGGGUGCUGUUGUCAUGGCAGCUUUUUGUUUUCCAGUUGCAGCUCCGGAGUAAAUAGUCUCUCAUUUACAGCCUCCAAAUCGCACGAGUGUCGCCAUGGUUAUUCUUGCUGUUCCUCUGAGCUUCCCGACUUCCUCCUCGGAUGUGGUUCGCGCUGCCUGGAGCAGGUGUGCGCCCUUCACAGGAGUGAAAAAUGAAUCAAUUCGCAGUGCUCCCUGUACCGGUGCGGUGCGACGCGUCUGCCUGCGCGUGAUUGGGUGCAACCCGUGUGCAAAGGCUCCUGGUUUAGCCGCGACGGUCCCGGUAGCUGUCGGCAGCUGUGGACGCGCAGCCCUGGCUGUGGUAAACGGCUGCAGGCGAGGAAACUGAGGUUUGGGAGUUCCUGAGACCUUCCCCAUCUUCUCCAGGCCAGGGCUCCAAUCCGCGGUCUUCCGUGAAGGUGCCAGGACCACUUGCACAGACAACUGCACCAGAGCAGGGCUCCUUUCUGCAGCUGCUCAGGCCUCACUUUGCUCCUCACGGACUGACGUAAGAACAGCACCCCCUGAGCACACACAGCCGGACAGAGAGGCUCUGAGCUGGUCAAGGCAGAGUCCCCUGGGCAGAGCGGCUCCGUCUCCUGGGCUGAGUAUGUGGGGACAAUGAUUGGAGCCCAGACAACAGACGGUGGCCCUAUCCGUGGACACUGGGAUCUAAGGCAGCAGACCGGCAUCUGGAAAGACGGGUCCUGGGAAAAGACAGAACAGCAAUUGGAACCAAAGUCUCCGCAGCCCUUGGACGCCCGCUCUGCACCACAGGGCCCUCUACUGGCCACAGAGGAAACUUCCAUCCUUGGGUGCAGCUGGGACAGAGGAGGGAGCACCUCCGGCCUGGCCCAGUGGCCCCUAAGCUCACAAUCGGUAAGUGUGCGCUCUCUGACCCUGGUGCAUGGAGUGCACAGGUGAAACAGGAGCUCCAGCAGGUGGGUCCUGACCAGGGGCAGCACCAGGUGACGGCCAUGAAGGAAUGGAGGGCACUCGUCCUGCGGCUCCCCCGUGAGCACUGCAGGUGCCCCCACUGGCCAGCUGUCUCCUCCGUUGCGACAGUUGGGGCCUUCAGUGCUUAAAUCUCCUUCUUCCUGACAGGCCCAGGCAACCAGCCCAGGACGGCAUCCGCCUUCUUUGUUCCUACAGGCCUGAUUUCACCUUCUAUCAGUGCAAGACUGUUCUGGAUUUUUCCUUUUAUUAAAGAGCAUGCUUGCCUUGCAGACAAUGUGACAAUGUUGAAAAAUACAGAAGCAAAGAUAGAUAUCCCUCUCAAUCCAACCCCCCAAAGAGAAGGCCCAGUAUCUCUUUUCAGAUAAAAAAUCCCAAGGGGAAAAUGGAGGCGAGGGGAUUGUGGAAUGGCCAUCCCCCCCUUCCCCCCUGUGGGGAGGUGGUGAUUUCUCACUUUCCCUAACUCUGCGGGGUGCACACACCUUUAGCAAACUAAAAUUUAAAUUUUAAUUUUAAAAAGCAUAUUAUUUAUACAUUCCCAAUAAUGUUGCAUAUGGUGUUGUUAGUUAAUGUUACAUCACAGUAACAUUAGGAAAUGUUUAACACCUUUUUUUAUUAUUAUUUUUUAAUUUGUUAGAGGGUGCUUGCACUUCCUGGAGAAAGACCCAGACAGGGAAAAUGGGAAAGCACAACUGAUGGGGUAUAGUCGCACGGCAGUCUCUUCUCCGUUUCUCCUCUCAGGCACAAAUGCACACGUGCUCGGUGUCUGUUUCAAGCUGCCACAUUUGGGAUUCAAACCACCCCGUCAACAAUGUGGGAUCCAGCCACCUUAACCACCACACCCUGGGCUAGCUCAUUUUAACACUGCGUUAACAAUCUAGCCACGACUGAGCCUGUGGCUGGUCCGUAAUUUAGUUAUUCCCUUUAUUGACAUCCCAUUGUUUAACGUUUAGGGCUGGGAAUGGCCCUGUACCAAAGAGCCUGUAGGAAAGUCCUGGUGGUUAUUGGAAGUGAAAUCACAUCCAGGGAGGCCUAUUGGUCUAGACGAUCUGAAAGCUCGCGAUAGCCAUGACCCAGUGGCCACCUGGAUGGGCAGUGACAGAGUCGCCACUGGCAAUAUAAGGGCGGCCAUUUCUCCCGCUCCACCCUGAGCAGUGAGGCAGGUGGGCACUGCUUUUCAUUUUCGUUUGAGUGUGCAUUUAUUGGAUCAUCAGUCCAACUGAGCAUUUCCAUGUGUGUGGCUGGAGGCUCUGAGGACCAGUCUCUGGCCUGUCUAUGGGACCAAAAAUUGGGAAAUAAGACCAACGAGGGAUGGGUAGUUGAAAAGCCACCUCGAUUCUUGGUAAAGACAAUGCUGGAGAAGCAGCCUCAAGUGAGAGCAGGUGGACGUGCAGCCGGAUUGCCAAGCCCGCGGCACCCCUUCUCCCACCCCAGACAGUGCUGUCUGGACAGAUGGCCAGACACACCUUCUCGGGGUCUUCCAAGGCCCUCCGUGCAGAAGAGAAUCAUCUGACCCUCGAAGGGAUAAGGAGGGCAGUCCUGCCAAUUAGCUACCAGCAUCGUGGUCUCCCCCACCCGAGUGCCAUGUGGCCUGCUGCGACCCACAUGUGUCACGGCGUCCUCACAGCAGCCCCAUGAGGAGGGACCUGUGGUCCACACUGAGGUCUUGUCAGGUCCAGCGAAUUGCCAGUUUCACAGACAAGGUACCAUUAGGGUGGCUUGCCACCAACCCCCAUGCAAGGGACGUGUCACCCAGGAGCCGAGGAUUGUGGCACAAGCCCAGCGCUCCAGAGCCAGGCACUUACGACCUGAGAAUACUCAUUUAUCUGCUGCCCAUCGCGAUGCCAGGAAGUGAGCAUGCUACUGCGGGUACUUUUCUGGAGGGGUGGGAACAGAUUCUGAUGCGGGAAUGAUGAUAAGCUUCGGGAGAGCGCGUGACUCGUUUUAAUGCUGUUUGGAGAAACAUCAAAAGCAACCACAGAUGCCUCUGUCUGCCUGGAGACUCAGCUAUUCCCAGGAAGUACUCACAUACACGCUACAGCUGGGGAGCUCGUCAUCGCCACUGUGUUAUCUUUUUCAGUUAUGAAAGUAAAUCAUAUUAAUUGAAAUAGUUCAAAAUUAUAGUAAAACAUUUAGCAAUAGGUGACAGCUAGCUGUCCCUUUCAUCAGCCUAAAAUAUGCUUCCGUAACAAUAACUCCUUACAUAAAUAAUAAAUUACUUUGUAUAUUAAAAAAUAUACUAAUAAGUAA
Molecule: long non-coding RNA, 3428 nt
Organism: Tupaia belangeri chinensis (Chinese tree shrew)
Lineage: Eukaryota; Metazoa; Chordata; Mammalia; Scandentia; Tupaiidae
Exons: 4
Source: RefSeq, a predicted model, not a curated record